Molecule: unclassified non-coding RNA, 642 nt
Filed under: uncultured bacterium
Lineage: Bacteria
Description: partial contains 16S ribosomal RNA, 16S-23S ribosomal RNA intergenic spacer, and 23S ribosomal RNA
Rfam family: Bacterial large subunit ribosomal RNA (bases 512-642)
Source: RNAcentral
UGCGGCUGGAUCCCCUCCUUUUUAAGGAGACGAAGCACUCAACUUCGGUUGAGCCUUCGAUGGUCGAAGGAAGCAAUAGCUUCCGGGUCUCAGUUGAUCGCACAAAGUAAAUAUCGAGAACCAAAAGUUCUUUACAGCAUAUCCGACCAAUUUUCGGGGUCGUAGCUCAGUUGGUAGAGCAUCUGCUUUGCAAGCAGAGGGUCGCGAGUUCGAAUCUCGCCGGCUCCACCAAAUUGGCGCGAGCUCGCUAGGUCAUCGUCACUUUCUCCAAUCUUGGGCUCAUAGCUCAGUUGGUUAGAGCACGCGCUUGAUAAGCGCGGGGUCGAUGGUUCAAGUCCAUCUGGGCCCACCAUUUUGAGCUUUGGCUCAAUCUUCGGGAUGGGUCAGUGGACGAAAGCGGCGAUGUGUUGCAUAACAAUUUUGUUCUUUGAAAGUUCAGACAGACAGCAUGAUAUCUAAUUUUAGAAAUAAUGUAAGUGGGUAAGAUAAACGCCUAGAAUACUGCGCGUUUGCAUAAACCAGUUACAGCAGAUGAUGGAUGCCUUGGCGUCAUCAGGCGAUGAAGGGCGCAGCAAGCUGCGAUAAGCUUCGGGGAGCGGCAUACACGCUUUGAUCCGAAGAUUCCCGAAUGGGGAAACCCGG